This 237-nucleotide ribosomal RNA is filed under the name uncultured bacterium. Its description in RNAcentral is "partial 16S ribosomal RNA". It matches the Rfam family "Bacterial small subunit ribosomal RNA", at positions 336 to 590 of the family's 1533-position model. The record is from RNAcentral.
UUCCUACGGGACGCAGCAGUGGGGAAUAUUGCACAAUGGGGGGAACCCUGAUGCAGCGACGCCGCGUGGGUGAAGGAGCACCUCGGUGCGUAAAGCCCUAUCGGCAGGGGAGGAACAGACGGUACCUGACGAAGAAGCCCCGGCUAACUACGUGCCAGCAGCCGCGGUAAUACGUAGGGGGCAAGCGGUAUCCGGAUUCACUGGGGGGAAAGGGAGCGUAGACGGCGACGCAAGUCU